This 65-nucleotide transfer RNA is filed under the name Rhabdoblatta marginata. RNAcentral's name for it is "tRNA-Arg". The record is from RNAcentral. Lineage: Eukaryota; Metazoa; Arthropoda; Insecta; Blattodea; Blaberidae.
GAAUAUGAAGCAAUUAUUGCAAUUAGUUUCGACCUAAUAAAUUGAUAUUAAGUUAUCCUUAUUCU